GACGAACGCUGGCGGCGUGCUUAACACAUGCAAGUCGAACGGAAAGGCCCUGCGUUUGUGGGGUGCUCGAGGGGCGAACGGGUGAGUAACACGUGAGUAACCUGCCCUUGACUUUGGGAUAACUUCAGGAAACUGGGGCUAAUACCGGAUAGGAGCUCCUGCUGCAUGGUGGGGGUUGGAAAGUUUCGGCGGUUGGGGAUGGACUCGCGGCUUAUCAGCUUGUUGGUGGGGUAGUGGCUUACCAAGGCUGUGACGGGUAGCCGGCCUGGGAGGGUGACCGGCCACAUUGGGCCUGAGAUACGGCCCAGACUCCUACGGGAGGCAGCGGUGGGGAAUAUUGCACAGUGGGCGGAAGCCUGAUGCAGCAACGCCGCGUGCGGGAUGACGGCCUUCGGGUUGUAAACCGCUUUCGCCUGUGACGAAGCGUGAGUGACGGUAAUGGGUAAAGAAGCACCGGCUAACUACGUG
Molecule: ribosomal RNA, 468 nt
Filed under: uncultured bacterium
Lineage: Bacteria
Description: partial 16S ribosomal RNA
Rfam family: Bacterial small subunit ribosomal RNA
Source: RNAcentral